GCAAUAGUGAAGUGGUAAGGCGUCAGCCUACCACGCUGAAGGCCCGGGUUCGAUUCCCGGUGGAGGCA
This 68-nucleotide transfer RNA is filed under the name Haliotis rubra (blacklip abalone). RNAcentral's name for it is "tRNA-Gly". It matches the Rfam family "tRNA". From Rfam's summary of the family: Transfer RNA (tRNA) molecules are approximately 80 nucleotides in length. Lineage: Eukaryota; Metazoa; Mollusca; Gastropoda; Lepetellida; Haliotidae. The record is from RNAcentral.